GGACCGUGACGAUUCAAUUGAUAAGGUCUCGUUCGUCGUAAUUGGCCGCAAGGCCUUGCCGACCAUUCUGUUAUAUCACCACCCAUUAUCUGAGUCC
Rosa chinensis is the source of this 97-nucleotide small nucleolar RNA. RefSeq annotates it as small nucleolar RNA Z43. The transcript has a single exon. Lineage: Eukaryota; Viridiplantae; Streptophyta; Magnoliopsida; Rosales; Rosaceae. The record is from RefSeq and is a predicted model, not a curated record.